This 471-nucleotide ribosomal RNA is filed under the name uncultured soil bacterium. RNAcentral's name for it is "bacterial SSU rRNA". It matches the Rfam family "Bacterial small subunit ribosomal RNA", at positions 26 to 518 of the family's 1533-position model. The record is from RNAcentral.
AGGACGAACGCUGGCGGCGUGCUUAACACAUGCAAGUCGAGCGGUAAGGCCUUUCGGGGUACACGAGCGGCGAACGGGUGAGUAACACGUGGGUGAUCUGCCCUGCACUCUGGGAUAAGCCUGGGAAACUGGGUCUAAUACCGGAUAUGACCUGCUCUCGCAUGGGGGUGGGUGGAAAGAUUUAUCGGUGCAGGAUGGGCCCGCGGCCUAUCAGCUUGUUGGUGGGGUAAUGGCCUACCAAGGCGACGACGGGUAGCCGACCUGAGAGGGUGACCGGCCACACUGGGACUGAGACACGGCCCAGACUCCUACGGGAGGCAGCAGUGGGGAAUAUUGCACAAUGGGCGAAAGCCUGAUGCAGCGACGCCGCGUGAGGAUGAAGGCCUUCGGUUGUAAACCUCUUCUAGCAGGACGAAGCGCAAGUGACGGUACCUGCAGAAGAAGCACCGCUAACUACGUGCCAGCAGCCGC